Molecule: non-coding RNA, 87 nt
Organism: Lophiostoma macrostomum CBS 122681
Lineage: Eukaryota; Fungi; Ascomycota; Dothideomycetes; Pleosporales; Lophiostomataceae
Source: the annotation of a GenBank genome assembly
AGCUGAAUGGCGCAGCGGAAGCGCGCCGGGCUCAUACCCACUAGGGAUGUCACCCGGAGGACAGUGGAUCGAAACCACUUUCAGCUA